This is a non-coding RNA of Potamilus streckersoni, 77 nucleotides long. The record is from the annotation of a GenBank genome assembly. Lineage: Eukaryota; Metazoa; Mollusca; Bivalvia; Unionida; Unionidae.
GACCUCAUCGGUGGUCUAGUGGUUAGAACGUCCGCCUAGGAUGCGGAAGGUCGUGGGUUCGAUUCCCAGCAGAGUCA